This 27-nucleotide non-coding RNA is filed under the name Mus musculus (house mouse). The record is from RNAcentral. Lineage: Eukaryota; Metazoa; Chordata; Mammalia; Rodentia; Muridae.
UAUCAAUAAAUCUCAUGUGAUUGCAGC